Long non-coding RNA from Panicum virgatum (switchgrass), 510 nucleotides. RefSeq lists it as uncharacterized. The transcript is spliced from 2 exons. The record is from RefSeq and is a predicted model, not a curated record. NCBI's taxonomy places the organism in Eukaryota, Viridiplantae, Streptophyta, Magnoliopsida, Poales, Poaceae.
GGAUAAUAGAGUGAGUGUCACCUCUGUACUAGGAGGAAAAUCUGACCAGCACCGAAUCAGGGAUGGCCCACUGUCUAGGCUGUUGCAGAGGGGAUGCUGGUGGAGAAGCUGAAAGUUUUGUGCUACAUGAGACCCAUAGCUGGGGAGGCUAAUACUUCCACUGCACAGUAAUAGUUGGUGUGAUCUGGUGAGCCUUCGCUCAAAGGCGUAGUUUCACCAUUAGAUGCAGGAGGAAAGCUUGUGAUUGUUGCUGGGCUCAACGGACUAGGUACCUGUACAAUGUGGCAAAAGUGUUCUGAAUUAUAGUGCCUUCCAGGACUCUUGCACAAACGACAGCCUACCAUUGACGUGGAUGCUCUGAAACUGGAAUCGGCCGAACAUGUUGAGUUGUAACUCCUAGAAUGCAAAUUGAUCGAUGCCUUGCAACAUUGAAGUCCUGUGCUGAGCAUGGCAGUUUGUAUUCAAAUCUUUCAACACUAUUCUUGAGAGCCAAAGGAGCUUGCAUUUGAA